AUUCGUCCUGUGCUGAUAUAUGCUUGUGAAGUCUUUGAUUUAUAAUUUCAGUUCACAAAAGAAAUUAAACCUAUCCUUGGAAAAAAAAGAACAAUGAAGAUUAUCCAUGGCUUUAUGACACACCGUAUGAUGUUGCCCUUAAUCUAAAUCUGAAUCUAUCGAAUCUGCAAAGAUUGUCAGUAUAUCGGGACAAACUUUGUGAUGAUUUUCUGCUUAAAGAUUUCCGGCCCGUCAAUACAGAAGAUAAACUGUUUUAAUAGUUACCACAUAAUAUCAAUAGGGACUUACCCUUAAAAAACAACAAGGUGAAUUUACUGUCCCUAGCUAAAUGUAUUAAUACAGACCGUUUCAAAAAUUCUUUUAUAAGGGGCGGACCAUUAGAAAAGUGACGGAGGGUGGGGAGGGGGAAAAGCAAAAUUAAAAAUCGUGCAGGG
Non-coding RNA from Paramuricea clavata, 434 nucleotides. NCBI's taxonomy places the organism in Eukaryota, Metazoa, Cnidaria, Anthozoa, Malacalcyonacea, Plexauridae. The record is from the annotation of a GenBank genome assembly.